CAGUGAUUUACAGAAAAUGAGCAAUGUAGAAAUUUUUUUUUUAAAAAAAGAGCUCUUCCUGUGCUUUUGUGUGGGGAUUGAACUCCUGUCUGGAAAUCCUGCAAGGAAUGGCUUAUCCAGUCUCAGUGGACAGUGGUCAUAGGAGAGGGCCGCAUUCAUGUGAAAAACAGAGACAUGCUUUCCUGUUUUACACACAGCAUGUGGGACAACACCAAGUCUAGCAGGCAUCUAUAAUCUGUCCUCUGUUGCAGCCAAACAUGGUGCAAUCGGUGUGCUAAAUGAAGAUAAGCCUCAGAAGCCAUAAGGACUUAAGGAUGGCUUUAUGUACAUGGAGGUAGCUGUGACGGUGUACCCCUCCAGCCUCGCGCCCAAUGAUUUGAGGAUAGGCUCCGGACUGCCGCGACCCUGACCGGGACAAACUGUUACGCAACGUAUCUUUGUGUUGUUUUUUAUGUAGCGCCAUGG
Long non-coding RNA from Scleropages formosus (Asian bonytongue), 465 nucleotides. RefSeq lists it as uncharacterized. NCBI's taxonomy places the organism in Eukaryota, Metazoa, Chordata, Actinopteri, Osteoglossiformes, Osteoglossidae. The transcript is spliced from 3 exons. The record is from RefSeq and is a predicted model, not a curated record.